RNAcentral lists this ribosomal RNA (496 nucleotides) under uncultured bacterium. RNAcentral describes it as "partial 16S ribosomal RNA". It matches the Rfam family "Bacterial small subunit ribosomal RNA", at positions 28 to 506 of the family's 1533-position model. The record is from RNAcentral.
GAUGAACGCUGGCGGCGUGCCUAAUACAUGCAAGUCGAGCGAACAGACGAGGAGCUUGCUCCUCUGACGUUAGCGGCGGACGGGUGAGUAACACGUGGAUAACCUACCUAUAAGACUGGGAUAACUUCGGGAAACCGGAGCUAAUACCGGAUAAUAUAUUGAACCGCAUGGUUCAAUAGUGAAAGACGGUUUUGCUGUCACUUAUAGAUGGAUCCGCGCCGCAUUAGCUAGUUGGUAAGGUAACGGCUUACCAAGGCAACGAUGCGUAGCCGACCUGAGAGGGGGACCGGCCACCUGGAAACUGAGACACGGUCCAGACCCCUACGGGAGGCAGCAGUGGGGAAUCUUCCGCAAGGGGGGAAAGCCUGACGGAGCAACGCCGGGUGGGUGAAGAAGGUCUUCGGAUCGUAAAACUCUUUUAUUGGGGAAAAACAAAUGGGUAAGUAACUAUGCACGUCUUGACUGUACCUAACCAAAAAGCCCCGGCUAACUACGU